RNAcentral lists this ribosomal RNA (2987 nucleotides) under Salmonella enterica subsp. enterica serovar Typhimurium. RNAcentral's name for it is "bacterial LSU rRNA". It matches the Rfam family "Bacterial large subunit ribosomal RNA". The record is from RNAcentral. Lineage: Bacteria; Pseudomonadati; Pseudomonadota; Gammaproteobacteria; Enterobacterales; Enterobacteriaceae.
UUAAGCGACUAAGCGUACACGGUGGAUGCCCUGGCAGUCAGAGGCGAUGAAGGGCGUGCUAAUCUGCGAUAAGCGCCGGUAAGGUGAUAUGAACCGUUAUAACCGGCGAUACCCGAAUGGGGAAACCCAGUGUGAUUCGUCACACUAUCAUUAACUGAAUCCAUAGGUUAAUGAGGCGAACCGGGGGAACUGAAACAUCUAAGUACCCCGAGGAAAAGAAAUCAACCGAGAUUCCCCAGUAGCGGCGAGCGAACGGGGAGGAGCCCAGAGCCUGAAUCAGCAUGUGUGUUAGUGGAAGCGUCUGGAAAGGCGCGCGAUACAGGGUGACAGCCCCGUACACAAAAGCGCAUGUGCUGUGAGCUCGAUGAGUAGGGCGGGACACGUGGUAUCCUGUCUGAAUAUGGGGGGACCAUCCUCCAAGGCUAAAUACUCCUGACUGACCGAUAGUGAACCAGUACCGUGAGGGAAAGGCGAAAAGAACCCCGGCGAGGGGAGUGAAAAAGAACCUGAAACCGUGUACGUACAAGCAGUGGGAGCACCCUUCGGGGUGUGACUGCGUACCUUUUGUAUAAUGGGUCAGCGACUUAUAUUCUGUAGCAAGGUUAACCGUAUAGGGGAGCCGGAGGGAAACCGAGUCUUAAUUGGGCGUUAAGUUGCAGGGUAUAGACCCGAAACCCGGUGAUCUAGCCAUGGGCAGGUUGAAGGUUGGGUAACACUAACUGGAGGACCGAACCGACUAAUGUUGAAAAAUUAGCGGAUGACCUGUGGCUGGGGGUGAAAGGCCAAUCAAACCGGGAGAUAGCUGGUUCUCCCCGAAAGCUAUUUAGGUAGCGCCUCGUGAAUUCAUCUCCGGGGGUAGAGCACUGUUUCGGCUAGGGGGCCAUCCCGGCUUACCAACCCGAUGCAAACUGCGAAUACCGGAGAAUGUUAUCACGGGAGACACACGGCGGGUGCUAACGUCCGUCGUGAAGAGGGAAACAACCCAGACCGCCAGCUAAGGUCCCAAAGUCAUGGUUAAGUGGGAAACGAUGUGGGAAGGCCCAGACAGCCAGGAUGUUGGCUUAGAAGCAGCCAUCAUUUAAAGAAAGCGUAAUAGCUCACUGGUCGAGUCGGCCUGCGCGGAAGAUGUAACGGGGCUAAACCAUGCACCGAAGCUGCGGCAGCGAACGUAUCACCCAAGACAACUUUACGGAGUUGACGAUUGACGGAGCGAAGCGACGUCAAAGCGUUCAUUAAAGUCGAGUUGGCUUAGGGAUACGUUCGUUGGGUAGGGGAGCGUUCUGUAAGCCUGUGAAGGUGUGUCGUGAGGCAUGCUGGAGGUAUCAGAAGUGCGAAUGCUGACAUAAGUAACGAUAAAGCGGGUGAAAAGCCCGCUCGCCGGAAGACCAAGGGUUCCUGUCCAACGUUAAUCGGGGCAGGGUGAGUCGACCCCUAAGGCGAGGCCGAAAGGCGUAGUCGAUGGGAAACGGGUUAAUAUUCCCGUACUUGGUGUUACUGCGAAGGGGGGACGGAGAAGGCUAUGUUGGCCGGGCGACGGUUGUCCCGGUUUAAGCGUGUAGGUGUGUGUUCCAGGUAAAUCCGGUUCACUUUAACACUGAGGCGUGACGACGAGGCACUACGGUGCUGAAGCAACAAAUGCCCUGCUUCCAGGAAAAGCCUCUAAGCAUCAGGUAACAUCAAAUCGUACCCCAAACCGACACAGGUGGUCAGGUAGAGAAUACCAAGGCGCUUGAGAGAACUCGGGUGAAGGAACUAGGCAAAAUGGUGCCGUAACUUCGGGAGAAGGCACGCUGACACGUAGGUGAAGUGAUUUACUCAUGGAGCUGAAGUCAGUCGAAGAUACCAGCUGGCUGCAACUGUUUAUUAAAAACACAGCACUGUGCAAACACGAAAGUGGACGUAUACGGUGUGACGCCUGCCCGGUGCCGGAAGGUUAAUUGAUGGGGUCAGCGCAAGCGAAGCUCCUGAUCGAAGCCCCGGUAAACGGCGGCCGUAACUAUAACGGUCCUAAGGUAGCGAAAUUCCUUGUCGGGUAAGUUCCGACCUGCACGAAUGGCGUAAUGAUGGCCAGGCUGUCUCCACCCGAGACUCAGUGAAAUUGAACUCGCUGUGAAGAUGCAGUGUACCCGCGGCAAGACGGAAAGACCCCGUGAACCUUUACUAUAGCUUGACACUGAACAUUGAGCCUUGAUGUGUAGGAUAGGUGGGAGGCUUUGAAGUGUGGACGCCAGUCUGCAUGGAGCCGACCUUGAAAUACCACCCUUUAAUGUUUGAUGUUCUAACGUGGACCCGUAAUCCGGGUUGCGGACAGUGUCUGGUGGGUAGUUUGACUGGGGCGGUCUCCUCCUAAAGAGUAACGGAGGAGCACGAAGGUUGGCUAAUCCUGGUCGGACAUCAGGAGGUUAGUGCAAUGGCAUAAGCCAGCUUGACUGCGAGCGUGACGGCGCGAGCAGGUGCGAAAGCAGGUCAUAGUGAUCCGGUGGUUCUGAAUGGAAGGGCCAUCGCUCAACGGAUAAAAGGUACUCCGGGGAUAACAGGCUGAUACCGCCCAAGAGUUCAUAUCGACGGCGGUGUUUGGCACCUCGAUGUCGGCUCAUCACAUCCUGGGGCUGAAGUAGGUCCCAAGGGUAUGGCUGUUCGCCAUUUAAAGUGGUACGCGAGCUGGGUUUAGAACGUCGUGAGACAGUUCGGUCCCUAUCUGCCGUGGGCGCUGGAGAACUGAGGGGGGCUGCUCCUAGUACGAGAGGACCGGAGUGGACGCAUCACUGGUGUUCGGGUUGUCAUGCCAAUGGCACUGCCCGGUAGCUAAAUGCGGAAGAGAUAAGUGCUGAAAGCAUCUAAGCACGAAACUUGCCCCGAGAUGAGUUCUCCCUGAGACUUAGAGUCUCCUGAAGGAACGUUGAAGACGACGACGUUGAUAGGCCGGGUGUGUAAGCGCAGCGAUGCGUUGAGCUAACCGGUACUAAUGAACCGUGAGGCUUAACCUU